Molecule: non-coding RNA, 82 nt
Organism: Nematostella vectensis (starlet sea anemone)
Lineage: Eukaryota; Metazoa; Cnidaria; Anthozoa; Actiniaria; Edwardsiidae
Source: Rfam
GUUUCGGUGGCCGAGGAGUUAAGGCGUUAUACUCAAAAUCCCAUGGGAUCUACCCUCGCAGGAUCGAAUCCUGCCCGCAACG